Molecule: transfer RNA, 44 nt
Filed under: Thalassiosira minuscula
Lineage: Eukaryota; Bacillariophyta; Thalassiosirophyceae; Thalassiosirales; Thalassiosiraceae
Description: partial tRNA
Source: RNAcentral
UAUCAACCUGUCAUUUGGCAUUUCGGUGGUGGAUGCGGUCACGG